GACCUACGGGGGGCAGCAGUGGGGAAUAUUGCACAAUGGGGGAAACCCUGAUGCAGCGACGCCGCGUGAAGGAAGAAGUAUUUCGGUAUGUAAACUUCUAUCAGCAGGGAAGAAAAUGACGGUACCUGACUAAGAAGCCCCGGCUAACUACGUGCCAGCAGCCGCGGUAAUACGUAGGUGGCGAGCGUUGUCCGGAUUUACUGGGUGUAAAGGGCGUGCAGCCGGGCUGACAAGUCAGAUGUGAAAUCCCGCGGCUCAACCGCGGAACUGCAUUUGAAACUGUCAGUCUUGAGUACCGGAGCGGU
RNAcentral lists this ribosomal RNA (305 nucleotides) under uncultured bacterium. RNAcentral describes it as "bacterial SSU rRNA". It matches the Rfam family "Bacterial small subunit ribosomal RNA", at positions 334 to 658 of the family's 1533-position model. The record is from RNAcentral.